GCCCUACGGGAGGCAGCAGUAGGGAAUCUUCCACAAUGGACGAAAGUCUGAUGGAGCAACGCCGCGUGAGUGAAGAAGGGUUUCGGCUCGUAAAGCUCUGUUGGUAGUGAAGAAAGAUAGAGGUAGUAACUGGCCUUUAUUUGACGGUAAUUACUUAGAAAGUCACGGCUAACUACGUGCCAGCAGCCGCGGUAAUACGUAGGUGGCAAGCGUUGUCCGGAUUUAUUGGGCGUAAAGCGAGUGCAGGCGGUGCAAAAAAGCUGAUGGGGAAAACUUCGG
RNAcentral lists this ribosomal RNA (279 nucleotides) under uncultured bacterium. RNAcentral describes it as "partial 16S ribosomal RNA". It matches the Rfam family "Bacterial small subunit ribosomal RNA", at positions 335 to 607 of the family's 1533-position model. The record is from RNAcentral.